Molecule: transfer RNA, 68 nt
Filed under: Parasesarma affine
Lineage: Eukaryota; Metazoa; Arthropoda; Malacostraca; Decapoda; Sesarmidae
Also listed under: 1 other name
Description: tRNA-Ser
Rfam family: tRNA
About the family: Transfer RNA (tRNA) molecules are approximately 80 nucleotides in length. Their secondary structure includes four short double-helical elements and three loops (D, anti-codon, and T loops).
Source: RNAcentral
GAUUGUUUAGUUUAAUAAAAACGAAUGUUUUGAAAACAUUAAAUAAGAAUUAUUAUUCUUAAUAAUCU